UAGCGGAGGAAAAGAAACCAACCGGGAUUGCCUUAGUAACGGCGAGUGAAGCGGCAAAAGCUCAAAUUUGAAAUCUGGUACCUUCGGUGCCCGAGUUGUAAUUUGGAGAGGGCAACUUUGGGGCCGUUCCUUGUCUAUGUUCCUUGGAACAGGACGUCAUAGAGGGUGAGAAUCCCGUGUGGCGAGGAGUGCGGUUCUUUGUAAAGUGCCUUCGAAGAGUCGAGUUGUUUGGGAAUGCAGCUCUAAGUGGGUGGUAAAUUCCAUCUAAAGCUAAAUAUUGGCGAGAGACCGAUAGCGAACAAGUACAGUGAUGGAAAGAUGAAAAGAACUUUGAAAAGAGAGUGAAAAAGUACGUGAAAUUGUUGAAAGGGAAGGGCAUUUGAUCAGACAUGGUGUUUUGUGCCCUCUGCUCCUUGUGGGUAGGGGAAUCUCGCAUUUCACUGGGCCAGCAUCAGUUUUGGUGGCAGGAUAAAUCCAUAGGAAUGUAGCUUGCCUCGGUAAGUAUUAUAGCCUGUGGGAAUACUGCCAGCUGGGACUGAGGACUGCGACGUAAGUCAAGGAUGC
RNAcentral lists this ribosomal RNA (564 nucleotides) under Saccharomyces cerevisiae (brewer's yeast). Its description in RNAcentral is "partial large subunit ribosomal RNA". It matches the Rfam family "Eukaryotic large subunit ribosomal RNA", at positions 48 to 626 of the family's 3401-position model. The record is from RNAcentral. Lineage: Eukaryota; Fungi; Ascomycota; Saccharomycetes; Saccharomycetales; Saccharomycetaceae.